RNAcentral lists this long non-coding RNA (1646 nucleotides) under Cricetulus griseus (Chinese hamster). RNAcentral's name for it is "lncRNA (ENSCGRG00015036017.1)". The record is from RNAcentral. Lineage: Eukaryota; Metazoa; Chordata; Mammalia; Rodentia; Cricetidae.
CCGGUCCUUCUUCUGGUCCCUCUCAAAGAUUCUUCUUGUCUGGUGACAUUUCCCUGUUGGAUUCCAGAGCCCAGCCCUGUGCCUCUACAUAUGGGCACUCACUGGGAGGGAAGAGCCCGUCCAGUCCAUCUUCAGGUUUAUGGAGAAGACAGACUGGGAAAGGCAAAGACUUCAAUCAAAGAGGAAUCAGUGGGAGUCUGGGCAGUCUUUCCUGAGAAGAUGUGAACACAUGUCUGCUUACCCUGCAUAGGGCACCAACGACAGACCAAAGAGACUGGACCCCACAGCUCUGAGUCUUGUUUGUGGCGACAAUUAUGGGAGUUGCUUUUCAGGCGGAUGGGUGCCUCUGGCACUGACUGCUUCAUGAAAAAGCCCACUGCAGUCUGGGUCAGAUGACUCAUCUAAGGGACAUUUCGAGCUCCCUAUGUUACUUGCAACUUUCUUGUGUGUUCUUAUACCUUUCUUAAGAAUUUCCUGAGGCUCCUUGUCUCCCUCACUCCACAAGCAGGGACUGGUCUGCAGCUGGUGGAGCACACCAGGGGGUUAGUUGUGCGUGGAUGCAGGGAUCUGGGCUGCAGGGUUGCUUGAGACCUGGCAACUGAAGGGGUGUAGAUACAGCUCUGUGGGUGGGUGAGCCUGCCCAGGGAUGGGCUGAAUGAGCCUAGGAGUUAGAAGGCUAGUGGCUAGCACUCAUGGGAGACAAGGAGGAGACCCUAAAAGACAGCCACUCCUUGGAGUGCACGGUUGUGGUGAGAGCAGCUGACUAGAAGGGAGUUUCUAAGAUUUGAUAACUGAUACUUUAACCAAACUUUAACCCCUUGUGUGGGCCAGGUUCUGAGCAACUAGAGAUGAACCAGAAGUCUCUUAGUGAGACAGAUGUGUGAAUUACAGUUAAGCAAAAUGUAUGAACAAGAUUCUAGUACUGUGAUCUCUGACUGACAUACACACAACACCCACUGAGAUUACAGAGGACAGGGACUUACAUUUGUGUAGGAUGUGUGUGUGUGUCCAUGUAUGUGUGCAUAGGAGGGUGCUUUUGUGUGUAUGCACCCCUGUGGAGGCCAGAGGUUGAUAUUAGGUGCCUGUCACUCGGCCACAUGCCGCCAGCUGGACAGGGACCGGAGGCUCUGAAUUCCAGGGCCCUGGGCAUGUUGAGAGCAAGGCUUUCUUCUAGGCCUUUAGUGUCAUCUGGCGCCAGCACACAGCAAAGCUCAUUAAGAUCCUUCACCCAGGCCAGAUGCACACUUUGAGAGCGUGUUAGAGAAAGCUCAGAGUGAAGGGACUUCUGGAGAAGAUGGUGCCCCGGGUGUUGUGAGAAACGGAGAUCCAGUACCAGGAUAAAAAGAGGGGAAUGCAGGCCACCGGGGACUUGGGGGAUCUAGAGCUAUGAAUAAGAGCGGGUAGGAGGAGGUGCUUGGGCAGCAGGAGCAACGCCCACCCCGUCUAAGGAACCUGCCCCCUUCCUUCUCCCUUUCCAAGCUUUGUCUCUUCUUGGGGCCGGGACACAGUGGUCAGGACAGAUGGGUUCUCUUGGCUCACACAAGUUCCAAAGCUCCCCUUCUAGCUCUGGGUGUGUCUAUGUAAUUGCCCCUCGGGUAAAAGGCCUCUCGUGCCCCCUGCUGGCAGCUCCGCUCCAAGCAUCCCUG